GACGAACGCUGGCGGCGUGCUUAACACAUGCAAGUCGAACGGAAAGGCCCUGCUUGCAGGGUACUCGAGUGGCGAACGGGUGAGUAACACGUGGGUGUUCUGCCCUGCACUUCGGGAUAAGCCUGGGAAACUGGGUCUAAUACCGGAUAGGAGCCAUUUUUCGUGUGAUGGUUGGAAAGUUUUUUCGGUGUAGGAUGAGCGCGCGGCCUAUCAGCUUGUUGGUGGGGUAAUGGCCUACCAAGGCGGCGACGGGUAGCCGGCCUGAGAGGGUGGACGGCCACAUUGGGACUGAGAUACGGCCCAGACUCCUACGGGAGGCAGCAGUGGGGAAUAUUGCACAAUGGGCGCAAGCCUGAUGCAGCGACGCCGCGUGGGGGAUGACGGCCUUCGGGUUGGAAACUCCGUUCGCUAGGGACGAAGCUUUUUGUGACGGUACCUAGAUAAGAAGCACCGGCUAACUACGUG
This 465-nucleotide ribosomal RNA is filed under the name uncultured bacterium. RNAcentral describes it as "partial 16S ribosomal RNA". It matches the Rfam family "Bacterial small subunit ribosomal RNA", at positions 28 to 507 of the family's 1533-position model. The record is from RNAcentral.